UCUCUAAGUAGGAGGUGCUCAGAAAUCCC
RNAcentral lists this non-coding RNA (29 nucleotides) under Homo sapiens (human). Lineage: Eukaryota; Metazoa; Chordata; Mammalia; Primates; Hominidae. The record is from RNAcentral.